This 500-nucleotide ribosomal RNA is filed under the name uncultured bacterium. RNAcentral's name for it is "partial 16S ribosomal RNA". It matches the Rfam family "Bacterial small subunit ribosomal RNA", at positions 30 to 523 of the family's 1533-position model. The record is from RNAcentral.
AUUGAACGCUGGCGGAAUGCUUUACACAUGCAAGUCGAACGGCAGCACGGACUUCGGUCUGGUGGCGAGUGGCGAACGGGUGAGUAAUGUAUCGGAACGUGCCCAGUCGUGGGGGAUAACGUAGUGAAAAUUACGCUAAUACCGCAUACGAUCUAUGGAUGAAAGCGGGGGAUCGCAAGACCUCGCGCGAUUGGAGCGGCCGAUAUCAGAUUAGGUAGUAGGUGGGGUAAAGGCCCACCAAGCCAACGAUCUGUAGCGGGUCUGAGAGGACGACCAGCCACACUGGAACUGAGACACGGUCCAGACUCCUACGGGAGGCAGCAGUGGGGACUUUUGGACAAUGGGCGAAAGCCUGAUCCAGCCAUUCCGCGUGCAGGAUGAAGGCCCUCGGGUUGUAAACUGCUUUUGUACAGAACGAAAAGGUUUCUACUAAUACUAGGAGCUCAUGACGGUACUGUAAGAAUAAGCACCGGCUAACUACGUGCCAGCCGCCGCGGUAA